This 73-nucleotide transfer RNA is filed under the name Felis catus (domestic cat). It matches the Rfam family "tRNA". Rfam says of the family: Transfer RNA (tRNA) molecules are approximately 80 nucleotides in length. Their secondary structure includes four short double-helical elements and three loops (D, anti-codon, and T loops). Further hydrogen bonds mediate the characteristic L-shaped molecular structure. tRNAs have two regions of fundamental functional importance: the anti-codon, which is responsible for specific mRNA codon recognition, and the 3' end, to which the tRNAs corresponding amino acid is attached (by aminoacyl-tRNA synthetases). tRNAs cope with the degeneracy of the genetic code in two manners: having more than one tRNA (with a specific anti-codon) for a particular amino acid; and 'wobble' base-pairing, i.e. permitting non-standard base-pairing at the 3rd anti-codon position. Lineage: Eukaryota; Metazoa; Chordata; Mammalia; Carnivora; Felidae. The record is from Rfam by way of RNAcentral. RNAcentral also lists the same sequence under 1 other name.
ACCUGGGUAGCUCUGUUGGUAGAGCAUGUGACUCUUGAUCUCAGGGUUGUGGGUUCAAAGCCCACGUUGGGAA